Molecule: long non-coding RNA, 3215 nt
Organism: Aedes albopictus (Asian tiger mosquito)
Lineage: Eukaryota; Metazoa; Arthropoda; Insecta; Diptera; Culicidae
Exons: 2
Source: RefSeq, a predicted model, not a curated record
UAAACGCAGAUAUCAUCAAAACGACUAAAUUUAAAGAGUUCGAGCAUGUAUGGGUGAAAGUGCAAAUAGCAGGUGAAACACAUGUUUUUGUCUCUGUGUACUUUCCACCCGGUAAUGCACGUAAAGUUAUCUAUGAAAAAUUCUAUCAUAAUGCUGAAAAUAUCAUUAGCAAUUUUCCCCCCGAAAUAAAAGUGCAUAUUUAUGGAGACUUCAAUCAACGUGCUAUCGAUUUCAUCCCAGACGUUGACAAUGAGAGCAUCUUGCUACCAAUUUACGGAGAGAAUGAAGCGGUGCAAUUUAUAUGCGAUAGUUCUGCAAGUCUUGGUCUCAAUCAUAUUAAUAAUGUUAAAAAUCAACAGAAUCGCUAUUUGGAUCUUUUAAUGACGAAUAUUGAUGAAGAUUUCUGUGUGGUAGAAUCAUUGCAUCCCUUAUGGAAAAAUGAACUAUUUCAUACAGCAAUUGAAUUCUCUCUAAUUGUGCAUGUAAACAAUAGACCUGAAGAAUGUGUUUUUGAAGAGUUCAUGAUUAUCGUUCUGCAAAUUAUGAUAAUAUACGACAACAAAUUUCUCUGGUGAAUUGGCAAAAUGUGUUAGGAAAUGAAGAAAAUGUUGAAGAUGCCGUUACAACAUUUUACAGAAUAUUAUACGAUAUAAUUCACGACAAUAUACCUUUGAAGAAAAGAAGACAUCAUCAUACCUCAAGGUACCCCAUUUGGUUCAAUCGAGAAAUUAAAAACCUGAAGAACAGAAAGCAGAAAGCACAUAAAGCAUACAAAAAAUACAGGAAUGAUCAAAGCUUAUCCAAUUAUUUAAAUAUUUGUGACCAAUUAAAUCAUGCCAUUGAUAUUGCAUCCGAGGAGUAUAAAGAGAAAACUGAGCGGGAAAUAAAAUCAUGCCCGAAGAAUUUUUUCAAUUACGUUAAAACUAAAUUAAAAUCUGACAAUUUUCCACCUGAAAUGCACCUUGACGAAAAAGUUAGAGUAGACUCUGAAGCAAAUUGCAAUCUUUUUGCAACAUUCUUUGAAGUAGUCUACACCACACAUUCAGAGGAAAAUCGGGAUCGUGAAUAUUUUUCAUUUCUUCCUGAGCUAUCUAAAGACAUCAACGUUCAUCAAAUCAAAGUACAUGACAUAACGGACGCAUUAAAAAGUCUAGAUGCCUCCAAAGGUGCUGGUCCGGAUGGGAUUCCACCAGUAUUCUUGAAAAAUGUAUCAGUAGAACUUACAUCCCCGUUAUACUGGCUUUAUAACAUGUCACUGGAAUCAGGUAGUUUCCCUGAAACGUGGAAAAGCUCUUUUUUAGUGCCAAUUUUCAAAAGUGGCAAAAAAUUCAACGUACGUAGUUACCGUGGAAUAGCUAUAAUCUCUUGCAUUCCGAAGAUCUUUGAGGCAAUAAUCAAUAAAACUUUAUUCGACAUGGUCAAAAACAGAAUAACUCACACGCAACACGGGUUUUUUAAAGGACGUUCAACAUGUACAAACUUGCUCGAAUUCAUACAUUAUUCGUUAACGGCCAUGGACAAUGGCAAUCAUGUGGAAGUUCUCUUUACAGACUUCAGUAAAGCUUUUGAUCGAAUUGACGUACCUGUGGCAUCCUGAUGUAAGUGUGUGGGUAGCGACCAGUCAGUUGACUAGAUGAUUAGCAAUGGAACGGUAGUGCAGUCACAUUGCCAGAAUUAGACUAUAAAUUAGUAGUGUCAGUUAGAGUAAUUGUGAAGUGAUAGAUAUAGAAAUUGUAGGAUAUCACAUUGGCGAUCCUGCCACGACGUUGGCAAGUGUUCAUAGUGCAAUUUAAAUUAAAUUGAAAAUAAAAAUAAAAAGGUAAAAGAUUUCAAGACAUAUAUUGUUUGCGAGUGUGAGUGAUGUUAGUGUCAAUUAUGUUUCCAAUAUGAGGUAAGGUGUUCAUGCGACAUGGUUGCCAAAAAUGAUUAUAACCAAAAAAAAAAAAAUGUUGAGUCGGGUAAAGCCCAAGGCCAACAGAGCUGCAAGUGUUGAGUCGGGUAAAGCCCAAGACCAAUACAAAAAAAAAACCUUCCUAAUGUUGAGUCGGGAUAAGCCCAAGGCCAACAGAAGUGCAUGUAUUGAGUCGGGUAAAGCCCAAGACCAAUACAAUAAACAAAACAAAAUGCUUGCGUAGAGUACGGCUCAUUACCAAGCCUUUUAAAUGUUGAGCCGGGAGAAGCCCUAGGCCAACAGAAGUGCGUGCAUUGAGUCGGGUAAAGCCCAAGACCGAUACACUAAAAUCCAUGGUGCUGAAUCCAGAAUUGCUUAAAACAAAACAAAACAAAAGAACAAUAAAACGUGGAAAAUAUGUUAUGGUUAGUUGUAGCAAUACGGACAAAAUUACAUCGAUACCUGAAAACAAGUUGAGAAAGUGGCAAGUGAAAGCAACGGUUGAGGAGCUAAUGGUCCAUUUUACGAGCCGAAUUUUUGAAUGAAAAUUUGACAGGAGCUCGCUCCUUAAUACGUGGAAAUUAAUAUCAUCAUCAGCAUUGUUGUCGUUUCGUACAAUGGCUCAUACAACAAGAUUAUGUACAUAUUAUUUCUGGCUGCACGGCUCAAGCACUAACGGUUGUCUGAUGACAACGAAGUGUUCAUUUUCUGUUACCUGGCUGUGUGCGUGUCAAGGCACAUUUGAUUUUCUGCUCGUUCAGCCAGCGAUGGUCCGUGGUGAGGAAGGUAACUGCCGUGGGGGGAAGGUAAGAUCAACACGAGGUGAUGUUUUGGAAGGUUUAGAUUUGCAGAGUGGAAAAUGCGGACAUAAGUUUUUUCUACUAUUAUUUAGUUUGUUUUUUUGGCUUCGUUCCUUACUUCAUGCGCAUGCGAUAAUUAUACGAUAUUGUUGGGAAGUGGCGCUGUAAAGAAGAACAGUCAAGAGAACAGCUGUGAUUAUUUUGCAUGUUGCGUGUAGCAAACAGAGCGCACAGUGGUUCACUGUAGAUCAAAUACUAAUCAAAAUAUUUUGCUCAAAACCUUCAAAAACGUAUGAAAAUCGCGAAAUUUAUCGCAAUUUUUCGCCAAAUGCAUCUACCUAUAAUCAAAAGCUAUUAUCUUUCAAAAUCACCCAACGUAUCGCUGACGUGCACAUUUUAAUAUUUAAGAAAUAUGUUCACACAAAAUAGACAUUUUUAAUAACUAAAAUCAGUUUAAAUUUAUCGUUUUGGAUUUCAACAACUGAAAUGUUCAAGAUGUUGAUAAAAGUGUUACGGAUGUAAAA